Molecule: ribosomal RNA, 504 nt
Filed under: uncultured bacterium
Lineage: Bacteria
Description: partial 16S ribosomal RNA
Rfam family: Bacterial small subunit ribosomal RNA
Source: RNAcentral
AUUGAACGCUGGCGGCAGGCCUAACACAUGCAAGUCGAACGGUAGCACAGAGAGCUUGCUCUCGGGUGACGAGUGGCGGACGGGUGAGUAACGUCUGGGAAACUGCCCGAUGGAGGGGGAUAACUACUGGAAACGGUAGCUAAUACCGCAUAACGUCGCAGGACCAAAGUGGGGGACCUUCGGGCCUCACACCAUCGGAUGUGCCCAGAUGGGAUUAGCUAGUAGGUGGGGUAAUGGCUCACCUAGGCGACGAUCCCUAGCUGGUCUGAGAGGAGGAGCAGCCAAACUGGAACUGGGACACGGUCCAGACUCCUACGGGAGUCAGCAGUGGGGAAUAUUGCACAAUGGGGGCAAGCCUGAUGCAGCCAUGCCGCGUGUAUGAAGAAGGCCUUCGGGUUGUAAAGUACUUUCAGCGGGGAGGAAGGCGGUGAAGUUAAUAGCUUCACCGAUUGACGUUACCCGCAGAAGAAGCACCGGCUAACUCCGUGCCAGCAGCCGCAGUAA